GAUUCAGAGUGCCAUUGUCCAGUACUACCAGAUACAGAGCUCUCAGAGUUCCAGCUUCCAGUACUUCCAGGUCCAGAGCUCCCAGGUUUCCAGGUUGCAGUCCCUCCAGUCCCAGAGCUCCCAGGGUUUCGGUUUCCAGUACUUCCAGGGUUCCUGGGGCUUUCCGUCUCUGAUCCGGUUCCAUAAGAGGUGGAGCCUCCUCGAGUAAUCUCAUUUCCACCAGGUCUCUCUAACUCCAUUCUCAUCUG
RNAcentral lists this long non-coding RNA (248 nucleotides) under Homo sapiens (human). RNAcentral describes it as "HSALNT0079630". Lineage: Eukaryota; Metazoa; Chordata; Mammalia; Primates; Hominidae. The record is from RNAcentral.